This 84-nucleotide transfer RNA is filed under the name Microcaldota archaeon. RNAcentral's name for it is "tRNA-Leu". It matches the Rfam family "tRNA". Rfam says of the family: Transfer RNA (tRNA) molecules are approximately 80 nucleotides in length. Their secondary structure includes four short double-helical elements and three loops (D, anti-codon, and T loops). The record is from RNAcentral. Lineage: Archaea; Nanobdellati; Microcaldota.
GCAGGAGUGUCCGAGAGGCCAAAGGAGCUACCCUUAGGAGGUAGUGGCUUAGUGCCUACACAGGUUCGAAUCCUGUCUCCUGCA